AACGAACGCUGGCGGCAGGCCUAACACAUGCAAGUCGAACGUGAAGCCACCUUCGGGUGGUGGAAAGUGGCAGACGGGUGAGUAACGCGUGGGAACGUGCCUUUCGGUUCGGAAUAACCCAGGGAAACUUGGGCUAAUGCCGGAUACGCCCUCCGGGGGAAAGAUUUAUCGCCGAAAGAUCGGCCCGCGUCGGAUUAGCUUGUUGGUGGGGUAAAAGCCUACCAAGGCGACGAUCCGUAGCUGGUCUGAGAGGAUGAUCAGCCACACUGGGACUGAGACACGGCCCAGACUCCUACGGGAGGCAGCAGUGGGGAAUAUUGGACAAUGGGCGCAAGCCUGAUCCAGCCAUGCCGCGUGGGUGAAGAAGGCCCUAGGGUUGUAAAUCCCUUUCAGCGGGGACGAUAAUGACGGUACCCGCAGAAGAAGCCCCGGCUAACUCCGUG
This 443-nucleotide ribosomal RNA is filed under the name uncultured bacterium. RNAcentral's name for it is "bacterial SSU rRNA". It matches the Rfam family "Bacterial small subunit ribosomal RNA", at positions 29 to 507 of the family's 1533-position model. The record is from RNAcentral.